GCUUAUGGCAUAACUGCUUUUUGCAAGCCUGUUCUCUUCUGACCACAGAGGCUAAUAGGGUCACGCUUGGUUAGCACAUGAAUGAAACCACCUUGGAUGCCAAGUACUGUACAUA
RNAcentral lists this ribosomal RNA (115 nucleotides) under Cyprinodon variegatus (sheepshead minnow). Lineage: Eukaryota; Metazoa; Chordata; Actinopteri; Cyprinodontiformes; Cyprinodontidae. The record is from RNAcentral.